RNAcentral lists this long non-coding RNA (6095 nucleotides) under Sus scrofa (pig). RNAcentral describes it as "lncRNA (ENSSSCG00050058818.1)". The record is from RNAcentral. Lineage: Eukaryota; Metazoa; Chordata; Mammalia; Artiodactyla; Suidae.
GGGAUUGGACCCGCCACCUCAUGGUUCCUAGUCGGAAUCAUUUCCGGUGUGCCACAACAGGAACUCCUCUCUUUCUGUUUCAGAAAUGAGUCCAUUUUUUGUGCAUGCAUGUGUGUGUGUGUGUGUGUGUGUGUAUUCCACAUAUAAGUAAUAUUAUGUGAUAUUUGUCUUUGUCUGGUUUACUUCUAAUCUCCUGUACUGAUGUCCUCAUACUUCCUGAUUUGCUAGUGUCACCCUAUCCCGGGAGUAGGUCCUUGGUGCUGUUCUUUUUUCUUGUCUAUGCUUCUUUUAUUGAUGAUCUCAUCCAGUCUCCUGCCGUGCUCAGUAGUUAAGGAUCUGGUGUUGUCAUAAGCUGUAGUGUAGGUCACAGAUGUAGCUCAGAUCUUGUGUUACUUGGGCUGUGGUGUUGGCUGNCUGCAGCUCUGAUUCAACCCCUAGCCUGGGAAAUUCCAUAUGCCAAGGGUGCGGCCUUAAAUAGACAAAAACAAACAAACAAAAAACAGAUAUAAUAAAUGUGUAUCCGUUAAGUCAGACAUUCAUGUUAACUUGCUAUGAGAGCCAUAGAAUACCUAAUGUAAUAAUAAGAUUAAAAUUUUAUCCUCAAAUAGCUACUGGAAUCAGUGAUGGGUGAGAUGAGUCAUUUGCAAAUUCCAUCCCUACCUUGAAAUACUAGAUUGUAUGUUUAUUAUUUUCACACCUUAAGAUCUGAAUUUAUUUAAAGAAUCUGGGUGUUCUUUCAAUUCCUGAGCCUUCAUAAGCUUUCAUUGUUUAUUUUCUAAUUUGUAAGUGAUAAAUGAUCUUUAAAAUUAUGUUUAAUCGAUACCCUUUCUUUUCAAUCUGAAAGUCAUUGAUGUUGAGUAACAAGAGGAAAAUUGGACAUAAUAUAUCUUGCUUUGGUAUCAUAUAUUAUUGCUCUUAAUGUGCAAUUUAUUAUUUUCCUCCUCAUUUUUUAAUUUGCUUUACUUUGAAUAAAUUUGAGCUUAUACUUUGGGAAAUUCUGUAAUAAGGUGUUAUGAAAUACAUUUAGAAUAUAAUUCAUUUGUUGGUGAUAAUUGUUACCAUAGAAAUAUUUCCAUAUCAAAUUUGUUUGAAAAUGUGGACUAGCUAAAUCAUAGUACUGUGGAUAAUAGAGUAAUAAAAAUUCAUGUACCUAUGGUAAUUAACUGAAAGCCCCGGAGGAUUUCAGUAGUAAGCAAUGUAAAACUGUGUAACACAAGCAAAACCAAGAAUACCAAUGAUUUCUGUGCCUUAAAAGAUCUUGUUUUUUGUGUGUUUACUAUUAUCAAGAUAUCCUUUAGACCAUAAGGCACACAAAUCCUAAAUGAACUUUCUUCCCAUUUUUGAAGGUUUAUUGAAGUAUAGUUGAUUUGUAAGGUUGUGAUAAUUUCUUCUAUAAAACAAAGUGAUUCAGUUAUACAUAAACACACAUGCAGUCUCUUUCAGAUUCUAUUCGCACAUAGAGUAUCACAGACUAUUGGGUAGAGUUUUCUGUGCCAUUCAGCAGGUCUAAUUGUUGAUUGUCAUAUAGUAUACUCCUGUAAAAAGUCUCCAGAUUAUGGUAUAGAGCUGAUAACACCACAGAAGCACACCUCAUAGCCAUUUUUACUCAAUCUUUGCACAUACGCCUCCACCCAAUAUAAUCAUUAUUCUGACUCUGUUUUUUGCAGUUUUUUUUUUAAUUCAUGUAAUAAAAUACCAAAUGCAUCUUCUUUUCCCUGCCAUUUUCACUUAGUAGUUUCAUCUGUGUUGUUUCAUCAAGAAAUAAUUUUUUUAUUGCUAUGUAGUAAUUUGAUUUUUGAUAAUAUAAAAGAUGUAUGUAUGGGGUCUAUUGCUAAUGGACAUUUUGGUUAAAUUUAGUUUUGACACUUGUAAAUAAAAAUUCUAUGAACAUCUUUAUUUGUGUUUUGUUUGGGUGCAUAUGUACUGUAUUCUCCUUGGAUUUAUACUAGGAAUAGAAUUACUAGAAUUGCUGGGUCAUAGGGUAGGCUUAUUACUAGAAACCAUCACAUAUUUUUAAAGUGAUUUUUAAAAAUCACUUUACACUCCUGUUAACUAUAUAUAUGAGUUCCAAUUAUUCAUGUGUUUCCUAACUUUGAUAUUUAUAGUAUAUUUUAUCUUUUUGUGCAUGUGUGUGUGUGUGUGUGUUUGCCUUUUCUAGGGCCACUCCCAAGUCAUAUGGAGAUUCCCAGGCUAGGGGUCUAAUCAGAGCCAUAACCACCGGACUACGCUAGAGUCACAGCAGCACGGGAUCCCAGCCAUGUCUGCAACCUACACCACAGCUCAAGGCAAUGCAGGAUCCUCAACCCACUGAGCAAGGCCAGGGAUCAAACCCACAACCUCAUGGUUCCUGGUCUGAUUCGUUAACCACUGCACCACGAUGGGAACUCCUUUUUUUAUCUUUUAAUAUCAGCUACUCUUGUCAUUCUGUAAUAUCUUCUUGUGCUUUUCAUUUGCAUUUUUCUGAUAAUUUAGUGAUGUUGGGAUCACAUUUAUAUGCUUAUUGACCAUUUGCAUAUUUUCUUUUGUGAAUUGCCUAUUUAUAUUUUUGCACAUUUUUCAAGCAGUUGGCCUAUCUUUUUUUUUUUGUCUUUGUCUUUUCUAGGGCCACACCCAUGGCAUGUGGAGGUUCCCAGGCUAGGGGUCUAGUUGGAGCUGUAGCCCCCGGCCUACACCAGAACCACAGCAACGUGGGAUCUGAGCCAUGUCUGUGACCUAGACCACAGCUCAUGGCAAAGCCGGAUCCUUAACCUACUGAGUGAGGCCAGGGAUCAAACCUGCAACCUCAUGGUUCCUAGUCGGAUUCGUUAACCACUGAGCCAUAAUGGGAACUCCAGGUUGCCCAUCUUGAAUGAACAUUUAAAAAGAAAUAGCUAAUGUGAACUCAGCCUUUUCCCUGCAACUAGCAAGUGAUUAUAGAAAUAUUCAAUUUUCAGUUCAAAAUUACACAGAGCAAAUAUACAGAACAGAAUAAUUAUUAUUUUUAAAAACCUCUUUAAAUACAAAUACUUAAUAUAGAAAAGUCAAAUAUAGAUAAGCCAUAGAUUUGAGAAAAAAAUCACAUUCACAUGCAUACAUGUUUAUAUCAGCAGAGACCUUAACACUAAGUUCCAACAUAAAAAACAGAAAUAAAGUUGACUUCCUUCAAUUGAAAUCCAGUGGUGAUACAGAUCAACACCUGCUUGACUUCUCUUCCACUACAGUGACCCUUGAGAAAUUUCCAGAGCAGUGCAGUGUGUUUUAGUGAUUCAUAUAUUCAUCAUCACUGUAAUGUUCUGUAUAAUUGUAAUUAAGUUGAAUUAAGCCAUACAGAAGAGACACAUCUAUUGUUGGACUUAAGAUUCUGGUUCCCACAUACAGAGCAUCAUCAAGGAUUUCUGUGUGGCUGAAGAAAGGGAAUUGUGAGAUAAGAGAUGACACUGAGCAUAAAUGAAGGCAAGUGACAGAUCAUGUAGAUCACAUGACCCAUGACAUGAAAUUUUAACAUAACUCCUCAAUCCAAAAUGCAAAAAAUAAUUCCACAUUUAUUAAGAAAUUGAAUGUUGUAAUCUGGAGGUUAAAAGAGAGGCAUCAGAUUGAAGUAAAAGCUUGAAGAUAAUACAUUAGUGGUAUUUCAAAUCAAGAAAAUGGAUGGAAGUACCCUGGGGAGAUUUUGUGUGUGUGUGUAUGGAUGUAUGCAUAUAUGUAUAUAUUUAAUACAUAAUGACCAUAUGGUAAAAAUAAAUUCAGUGUUGUGAAGAAUAAGUAAGAUCAGAAUGGAGUACAGUGAGAAAGGUUAGCUGAAACCUUGGAUAGGUAAAAGACAACCUGAUCACAUAACUAUCUGUGGACAAUGGUAUAGACUUUGGAUUUUAUCCAGAAGAUGUUCUGGAAAGCUGCUAGAAGAUUAAAGGCAGAAUUCUGACAGAUUUGCAUUUUAAGUAGAUAUCUGGCUCUGGCUGUUUUGGGAAGCACUGGAGACAAUGUGCUACCUUACGGGAAUGUUAGGAAAGUAUUGCUAUGACCUAGGUGAAUGAUGACAAUGGAUGACAAAGUGGGCAUGAUAAGAAAUUCAAAAUAUGUUAUAAAGGUCAAGCUUAUAGAACUUGCUGAUAAGCCUGCCUGGCAUAUUUGAGAAAAAAUAGAAAUCAACAGUCAAUUCUGGGGUUUUUACUUUUUAUUUGGAGGUACUACAUAAAUGAUGGUUGCACUGGGGCCUUAGGAAGAGCAGGGUUGUUUGGACAGUGGUAUAAUUAAGAACAUAAUUGAUAAAUUCCUCUUUUUCAUCUAAUGAAGAUGCUGAAAAGGUAGUGAAUAUGUGCAAAUUUGGAAUAUAAUGAAGAUCUCAAAGCUGGAAAUAUUAAUUAGAGACUACAUUUAGAUGGUAUUUAAAACCAUGGAUCUAGGCAAGGUGACCCAAGUAGUGACUAUAUAUAGAGAUGGAAGAGACAUGUGUUGUUCUGGUGAAGAGAAUGCUGAUGAUUAUGUCAUUAUUAUUUAUAGGUUAUAGAAAUAUUCUACCAGUCUGACAAAAAUAUAUCACUUUUUAUAAUGUCUACAAUUAAGCCCGAUUUUCUGAAUAUUUGUAGGUUUACAGGAAGUGAGUAUAUAGAACUAUGUUUAGUGUUCCCUAUAAAUUUUCCUACUAUUUGUCUCUACUCUUAUUUUCCUUUGGGUGUACAGCAUUCAGCCCCCUUCUCUUGACCUCCUCUCUCAUGAAAUAAUCUGUCUAAAUGUUCUCAUCUAUAGAAAUCUAUAGUUUAUUUUUUAGGAAGAUUUAAAUUUCUCACCAGUUAUUUUCAAGAUGAUUGAUUAUCUUUUACCAUCUGAACUCUUGGAAUCUUUCUCCACCAGAGGCAACUUAUCCAAUUAUUCCUUGCAAAUAAUUGGAUAAGUUAAAAAAAAAAACAGACUUUGCAGAAAUGCUUGUAUAUAUGCAAACAAAUAUUUUGACUAAAUAUACACCUUAUUUUUGUCUGAUUUUUACUUCUGAAAUUCUGUAUUUGCCAUAAGCUGUAUAAUUCAACCUACAGAGUUUAAAAAUUAAAUCUAAUGAAAUUUAUUCUUUAAUGCAUUUUAGGAAUUACUACAAGAUGAAAUUGUAAAAAAGUGGUGGGGUAAGAGGAAGUGUAAAAGGCAAGGUAGGUUAUAUAGCAUCAUUUGAAGUUGUCGAAAAAGAACUGAUCUGAAAGCUAGUUGCUCAAAAUAGUGCCCCAUAAUUUAAGAACUGUUUCUAGAUUAUAUCAUCCAGUUUGACUGAUCGUUCUAGUAAUACGCUUCACUUACUCUUUGAUAACAAUGGUCUAAAGAAUGUCAAGAAGAAGACUCCUUUUUAAAUAUAUCAUAUAUAAUAUUAACUCUGGAAAGCAGUAGGCUUGAUUACUAUUUUGCUUUGUUGUUAUAUGUUAUUAUUAUUAUUAUUACUCUCAUUCCUUAAAGGUAGUGCAGAUCAUUUACCAAGGAAUUCAUCCAUGCACUCAAAGUCCUCAAUAUCUUGUUACAUUGUUACCAUCUUGUCUCAGAACACCUGUCACAUCCUGUUUUCAUUACCUUGCCCAUAUUUCACAUUUUAACCUCUCUUCAUUUCAUGAUUUAUACAUAUUUAAACUUCAUCCCACAAGUAUCCAACAAUCAUUCAGAGCCUGAAUUUUAAUCAUCUGCAACAUUUGGACUAUUUUACCUUCACUGUUGUAGCUCUAUUCAUUUAUUAGCGUUUAGAAGCUAACUAACUAUGGUCAGAAUGGAUAGUUUGAAACCCAAGUCUUAAUGUGAUUGUGUUUAGAGAUAGAGCCUAUGGGAGGUAAUUAGAUCAUGAGGUUGGCGACCUCAUGAUGUGAUAGGUUCCCUUAUUAAGAAAAGACACUGAAGGAGUUCCUGUUGUGGUGCAGCAGAAAUGAAUCUGACUAGCAUCCAUGAGGAUGCUGGUUCAAUCCCUGGCCUUACUCAGUGGGUUAAGGAUCUGGCCUUGCUGUGGCUGUGGUGUAGGUCGCAGAUGUGGCUUGGAUCCCACAUUGCUAUGGCUGUGGAGUAGGACAGCAGCUACAGCUCCAAUUUGACCCCUAGCCUGGGAACUUCUAUAUAUGCCGCAGGUGCAGCCCUAAAAGGCAAAAAAAAAAAAA